This 246-nucleotide long non-coding RNA is filed under the name Gossypium barbadense (sea-island cotton). Its description in RNAcentral is "long non-coding RNA (GBAR_LNC016063)". The record is from RNAcentral. Lineage: Eukaryota; Viridiplantae; Streptophyta; Magnoliopsida; Malvales; Malvaceae.
GUAGAACAGAGGAAAAAGAGAGGGUUGGUGGAGGGUGGGUUUUGGGAGAAAAUGGGGUCCAUAUUUUUGGGUUGUUAAAGAUGGCAACUUGACUAAAGAGGUGGGGCCUUUACAAGGACGGCUUUUUACCGACCACGACCAGUGCCACAAUACGUCGGAGAAAUUUGCCAGACCAUUUCCCCUCUUCACCUACCGCAACCGUGAUUCCUACCGGAAAGCCUUUUAUUAUCAAUUACUUAAAUCCCG